Molecule: long non-coding RNA, 1912 nt
Organism: Dreissena polymorpha
Lineage: Eukaryota; Metazoa; Mollusca; Bivalvia; Myida; Dreissenidae
Exons: 4
Source: RefSeq, a predicted model, not a curated record
UUUAAAACGAUUAUCGCCUUUGAUUUAAGGAUAUAAAAACUCAAAGCAGACUAAAGGAAGUAUAACACAAACCAACACAUAAGCCCAAGCGGAUGGGAAUUCCAUAUUAUAUUUCAAAAACGCCGCUCGACGUUUUUGACCUAAAAAUAAAUGUAGCUGAAAAUCAGCUGAAAAGUCACGUGGUACAUGGUACUGUCAUUUAUUUUUGGCAUAGAAAUUACAUUAUUUCUAAAGAAAGAGAUUUAGCUUGUUGAGCAAAUAAUUGACUUUCAUUGAAUAUUUUUGAUAAACCAAUAAAAUAUAGUUCAUAUUUAAAUCAAUUUUUAUUGGAAAAUCACUUUUCACAAAUACGAAUAUGCGGUCGAAUAGAAUUCAAGAUGGUUCGGACAAAAACAAGUGCUAGCGCUAAGACUAAAAAAAAACAAGAGAUGCAAGGUACAGGCGUAAUAAAAGGGAAAGGAUAAUAGACAUUGGUAUUCAGUGUGAUCGAUGGAGAAGAGUUAAAGAAGCUACUGGGAUUGAAAAGGACGAGAAAAUGAUGGAAAUAUUGAUCGAUGCAACUACUUCUGAACUAGAGAGCUUCAACAAUCAUCUUUUGAUACGCUCCAAACCAAAGCGAAAUGCUUUCAGCUAUGCAGGUGUCAGUUAGCAGCAAUAGAUUAUUCAAAACACUUGAAUCGUCCUGUUUUGUUGGACAAAGAAGGAAAUGAGAGGAGAAAAAAGGUGUACUCAAAAGCUGCUUGUAAUUGGAGCACAAAGCCUGUGAAAAAAACAUACCGGUACAUAACCGGUUUGAUCACUGAAGUUAUAAAUGAAUUCACCAUAGGCAAGAAAAGAAUAAGUGGCAAAUGUGAACAGCUGCCUGAAGACUCCAAAAGAAUUAGGUCAACUAUAGCCCCCGUCACCCCUCCACCUACAUCAAUACUUAGAGAUCAGCAUGUCUCUAGAUUGAGAAAAGCGAAAAAAUGAAUUGUUGCCCAAGACGUGUUUGAUAUUCAUUUGAAGUUGAUGCAGAAGUUAUCUUUGUUAGAUAACUAUUAAGUUUCACAUCUUUAGUGUAAAUAUAAUUUUAGAAGUGUUUUGAAAAUGUACAAUCUUACAUAAUGUUAUAAAUAAUGAAUGCUCUUGGUUGUACAAUGCAAUUACAUUUUUUAGGAAGUUUUAAUAUUGAAUUUAGCAUAAAAUAUUUUUUUUAUGUUAUAUUUUGUGCGUUUUUUAUCAAUACAUUUUUAUGCUUCCCCAAAAUUUAUUUUGGGGGGAGCAUAUAGUUGCCGCUUCGUCUGUCCGUCCAUGUGUCCGUCUGUGCACAAUUUUUGUCCAGGCUAUUUCUCAGAAAGUAAUGACCGGAAUUCAAUGAAACUUUAUGGGAAGCUUCACUACCAAGAGGAGAUGUGCAUAUUAUCAGCCGGUUCUCUUCAGAUGAUUUUUUAACAGAGUUAUGGCCCUUUGAAAUUUUCCAUUGUACAUAUAGUGCAAUUCUUGUCCGGGCUAUUUCUCAGCAACUUAUUACAGCAAUUCAAUGAAACUUGAUGGGAAGCUUCACUACCAACAGGAGAUGUGCAUAUUAUCAGCCAGUUCUGGUCGGAUGAUUUUUCACAGAGUUAGUGCAAUUCUUGUCCGGGCUAUUUCUCCCCAACUACUGACCGGAAUUCAAUGAAGCUUUAAUCCAUCCAUCGUAUAAUUUUGUCCAAAGUUAUGCCCCUUAAGACGUUUCCUUUUAUCUGAAUAUAUAGUACAAUAUUGUGAAAAAAAAACUUUUGGGGAGCAUCACCAGUCUACACCGGUUUCUUGUUACACAUGUAAAGAACACAAUUUUUCUUACAAAAUGUUUAGUUUUUUGUUUGAUUAUCGAUAUGUGUUUUUCAUUGCCUUCUUUAUUACCUGUAUUUAAUAAACCAUUGUAGUCGAUGUC